GUGAACUAGACCGCCUAAAACCACAAGAUUAGAAGUUAUAGUAAUCUUACUAAAUUUAAGAUGUAACUAUUUUGAUUAAAUCAAUACUCAUGUCUUAUUUAUUAAAGAUUAUGAAAGUGGAGAUCAUUCUGUUUUGGGCUGGGUUAAUAGUUUUGUAACCCCUAUGCCAAGUUUUGACACCUUAUAGUAUUUAGGAGGAAUAAGUAUGAAAAUGCUUGAUUAAUAAAUGCCAACAAAAACGUACGCUGGCAAAUUGUUAAGACAUUUCUAAUAUUAUUUUACCAAUAAUUUUAAAGCCAACUUAUUUAUUAAAGAUUUUACUUAACUCACUUGAACUUGAAAAAGCAUUUAACUAGUCUUUGUUCUUUAGUAUCUGAUUUAAGCACUUUUAUUUUUUAAUCCAAUUAAUCAGAGCUCGUUUAUAUAUUUUUAAUAGUGAAAUAUUGUGUACACAACAAAUAAAUAUAUAGAUGUAUUAGGCAUGCUGAUAGAAGUACAUCUUAUAGAUUCAUAAAGACCUCCUUUUUUUCCUUUUUUUUUUUUUAAGCUCACCCUGGGCAGUUGUCAGCUAAAUAGCCUUAAAUUUGCAUUUUAGAGGAAACAACUCAGGUGAAAAUCAGAUAACAAAAUUUACAUCAUAAGGUAUGAAGAGGGCCCAGUGGGCCAGCAAACUCCUGUAAUCCCAGCACUGUGGGAGGCCGAGGCAGUUGGAUCACUUGAGGUCAGGAGUUUGAGACCAGCCUGGUCAACAUGGUGAAACCCUGUCUCCACUAAAAGUACAAAAAUUAGCCAGGUGUGCUGGUGCGCUUGUAAUCCCAGCUACUCGAGAGGCUGAGGCAAGAGAAUCGCUUGAACCCAGGAGGCAGAGAUUUCAGUGAGCUGAGAUGGCACCACUGCACUCCAGCCUGGGCAACAGAGUGAGACUCUGACUCAAAAAAAAAAGAGUGUAAGAAGAGAAAGCCUGGUGAGCUGGAGGGAAAUUAAAAUGGAUUUAAUUGCCGAUUGAACAUAACAUUAUAGAAGUCUAUUAUAAAGGCCUUCAAAUAUAUACAAACACACAUAUACAGACACACACACACACACACACACACACAGCUUCUACAGCUUUUACUUCAGUACUUUAGCCAUGAGAUAAAUACAAAUUUGCCAGCUCGCAAAAAACAAACAAACAAAACCUGUUAGAUCCAAACAGUGGUUUUUAUCUCAGCAGAAACAUAACAGCAGAUUUAAAGCAGGCAGAAAAGAAAAUACAGAAAAAGGGGACCUGGGAACUCUAUAGUUUACAGGUCCACCUUAGGGCUCUUUUUCCUUAAUCUAAAUGUGCACAAAGACUGUAUUACUUCCAUUUUACUCUGGCAAGUAAAGGUGCCGUAAAACCUAUGGAGUGCACAAAAGUGGGUCAUUCUCCUUGUUUUCUCCUCAUUCUUAGAUUGUUUCCUGGUUUUAUGUAUAUAUUUAUUUAUUUAUUUAUUUUCUUAAAAGGAGGAACUGAGCUGUGGCCUAGGGUUUUUGGGUGAUGCAUCAGUGUGUGCUGCUUGUGGGCAGGACUCCUCAGUGUGUCACCACUGAGUCGUUUCCACCCUCUUACGUGUCUCAGUUUCUCUCUCCAGAGGUCUAUGACCUCUGAAAGAGCUCAAAAUGCCAGGUGAUCAGCUCUACAAGAGACUCGCUUCACCUUUAAGGGCAGCAAUUCUUUUUUUUUUUUUUUUUUUUCUGAGAUGGAGUCUUACUCUGUUGCUCAGGCUGGAGUGCAGGGGCAUGAUCUCGGCUCACUGCAACCUCUGUCUCCCAGGUUCAAGCGAUUCUCCUGCCUCAGUCUCCUGAGUAGUUAGGAUUACAGGCAUGUGCCACCACACCUGGCUAAUUUUUUGUAUUUUUAGUAGAGAUGGGUUUCAUGUUGCCCAGGCUCGUCUUGAGCUCCAGACCUCAGGUGAUCCACCCACCUUGGCCCCCCAAAGUGCUGAGAUUACAGGUGUGAACCACUGCACCUGGCCAAGGACAGCAAUUCUUUUAGCCUCAAGGCAUCUUCUGAGCUUUGUCUUUGAUGGAGCCGGUCUCUUUGGGCACUAGUAUCAUUAUCCUAUGUUUGGCUCCUAGGGUUAUCCUUUAAAAAAAUAUGUCUUUUCCUAGCACCUAACAGAGUGCCAACUACAACAUAGAAGGCCUUCAGGCUUUCAUAAUACUGUUUAACUAAUACUUUUUCCCACUUUACUGAGGUAUAAUAGACAAAUAAAAUUGUACAUAUUUAAGUUGUAUAGUAUGAUGCUUUGAUGUACAUAUGCAUUGUGAAAUUAUUGCCAAAAUUAAGUUAGUUAACACAUCCCUCACCUCACAUAGUUACCUUUUGUGUAUGUGGUAAAAACAAAGGUCUGCUCUCUUAUUAAAUUUCAAAUUUACAAUACAGUAUUAUUAACUUCAUUAACAAUUAUCAAAUUAAAUAAAUGAGUCCUGUUGCUGUCACCCAGGAGAUGGCACUCUUAAGAGACAGCUCAGUGAUGGAUCAAUGGCUGAUAGUUGAGGCAUCUGCUUUUAUUAUUAUUGUUUUUGAUUCAUAUGGGAAACCAAUGUUUUCUUUACCUGUUAAUGCCCUUUUAAUAUGGAUGGUCUUUCCUAAUCAGCAGUCUAUGUGUAGCAGGACAAGCCGCAGACAAAACAUCUCAGACACCGAGUUGUAGAAAGAAGGGCUUUAUUCAGCUGGGAGCAUUGGCAAGCUACUGCCUUAAAAUCCGAGCUCCCCAAAUGCACAAUUUCUGUCUCUUUUAAGGGCUCACAACACUAAAGGUUUUACAUGAAAGGGUCGUGACUGAUUUGAGCAAGCAGGCAGUGACAGGGGCUGCAUGCCCCGGUGGUCAGAGAGAAACAGAACAGGGCAGGGAGUUUCACAGUGUUCUUCCACACAAUGUCUGGAAUCUAUGAAUAACAUCGGUUUGUAAGUUAUGAGUUGAUUUUUAACUACUGGGUUUAGGCCAGGCAGGCCCAGGCCUGGUUUUGGGCCUGACGCCGGGCUGCCUGUCUUUGGUUUUACUUCCUUGUUGUUUUUUCUUAAAACAGGUACUGAGUAUAAAACAAUAUAAAAUAAUAUGAGAGGUCUCUCUCUUCCCUCAUAUGGGCAUCUUUCCAAACAUCAGUUUAAUUCUCCUGAGAAAGGCUGCCUCUUUCUGUGAAUUCCCCAAAGUGAAUUUCAUAUGUACUACCGAGACCAUACAAUGUAUCAGGACAUCUAUAAUGAACAUUUGUUGGGUUUACCACCUGUAAUCAAGAUCUCAUCUUGUGGUUACAGAACUCUGAUUUUGUUUUGGGGGAUUCCCUUCUCCUACCUUUCUAUAUGUAUAAAGUUGAUUUCAUACCUGGCUCUGGGAGUGCACUUUUGGCCAAAUCCUCAUUCUAACAAUACAUUUUAUUAAUCGCUAUUUGUUCUGGCCACAGUUUGAUUCCAGAAUGGACACAGGAUCCAAGUCUGUGAAAUCAAGAUCUGUGAGAUUCUAUUCUAAGACUUUCUUAGAACUUUCUGAGACAAGGACUUUCCCUUUUCUCCUGGGUGUGGAGUUUUAAAGAUAAGUGUUCUAGAGCUGCUGCAGUCAUCUUGCAACUACAAGGACAGAGCAUAACUAAGAAUGGAUCCUAAUUAGAGGUGAACAAAAGUAGACCUAAAGAAAACAAAAGUAGGACCUAAAGAAAAAUUGUCUAGGUCCUGAUAACAGAUAUAUAUAAGCUUCUCAUCCAGCUGCUCCAAAAGCUAAAUAUUCAGAUUUUUUAGUUAUAUAGGCUCAUACAUUUACUUAUUGCUUAAUCAGUUCACCAUCUUAAACAUAACUUCCAACCUGGUUAAUACUUGUCCAGCUAUUACCAAAUGUAAACAAGCAUGAACAAAUGAGAGACAGAAAAUUAAUGUUGGUGAUAUAGAUUAUAAGUAAUGAGGAGUGUUCAGAUAUCGAGAUAAAACAUGCUUGUAUCAGUCAUUUGUUUAGUACUUAAGAUAGGUUUUACAACAUUUGAGAUAUGGCAGAUAUCUCAAAAUAUGAGGUGUCCAUAAAGUGUGCAAACAGAUACAUAUAACAAACUGUUGAUAUUACAUUACAGUUGAGUAAAAUAACAUUGUUUCACAUUAUAUAGACAACACUAUCAGACUUAAAUCCCUCUAAAAAUCUAGGUGGGAAUUCUAAGACUAAUUACUUUGCAACGAUAUUGAAAAAUACUUGGGUAUGUACUAGGCAGGAAAAUACCUACUGCAUACAAAGUAUUGUUUUGGUGAUUUAAAAGAUAGACAAAGGAAAUAAAGAGAGAAAGAGAGAGGGAGAGAACGAGAGAGAGAAGGAGGGAAGGAAGAAAGGAAGAAGAAAUAUUUUGUAUUUACUCUGUGCCAGAGUUCUGAGAACAUGGAGUCAAAAAAAAAAAAAGAAAACAAAAAAACAAAAAAAAAUACAACUCACUGUUCCUACCCUCAAGGAACUCAGUGAGGUAUAAAAGAUGAACAUAUAAACAACAAAAUUAUAUAUAAUAUAUAGGUUAGGUUAGUGAAAUGCAGGUAUAUGAGCCAGAUAUUAUAAGAACAGAGAAGCACAUCAAGUCGGUUUUUGAGGGAGAAAGCUUACCAGCACAGACUGACAGAUGCACAGCUGCAAGGACACCAGACAGGGGAGAUAGUUUCCAAACAAGUGGAAAAUAGGGCAGACAUCUCUUGAGGGAGGAAGACAACAAGAGACUUCAGAAGGGGUGGAUCCAACAAAAUCCAGUUUCCUCUCAAACUUACUUACCACGUCAGACAUUCCUCCUUUGGAGAGACUACUUGAGGAGUGACAAAGGCCAUAAAACGUUGGGCACAGGAGGCAAUAAGAAGGCACCAUUCUGGAAGCAGAGAGCAACCCUCACCAGAUACUGUAUCUGCUGGAACCUUGAUCUUGGACCUCCCACUCUUCAGAACUGAAGAACACCAUGUGAACAUGAAGACAACCACCUACAAGCCAAAGAGAGAGGCCUCAGAGGAAACAACCAUGCUAACAUCUUCUUAUACUCUAGCCCCAAGAAAUGUGAGAAAAUAAAUUUCUGUUGUUUAAGCCAUUCUGUUCAAUCUGUGGUAGUUUGUUAUUGCAGCCUUAGCAGAUUAAUACAGUGAUAAAAGCAAAAACUGUAUCAAUAUAUAUAGCAGUGGCUUUCAAAUUUUCAAUAUAUAUAUAGCAGUGGCUUUCAAAAUUUCAAAUUUUUCACAAUCUACAAUAUGAAAUUAAUUUUACCACUCUACCCAGUAUGCAUAGACAGACAUAGCUGGAACAAAGAACAAAAUUUUUUCUUGCUAAUGUAUGUUGAUAUUUUUACUUGUUUGAUUGUAUUCCAUCAUUUCAUAUUAAGAAAGACACAAUAACUGAUUUUGCAACUGAUGAACUGGCCAAAUGUUAAAAAAUGCUAGAUAAGAAAUACUAUUAUUUGUUAAAACAACAACAAAGGCCCCAGCAAACUAGAUUCUUUGGAUAGAGGCAGAAGGGGCAUUUGUGAGCAUCUAUUUUUUAACUUUUUUUUUUUCCAAAAUAAAAUCUUAUGAGAAAAUCCAAUGUAUCAAACAGAUAAAUGCUGAGUUACUUUGGUAGACAGUGGUGGGGAGAGAAGUGGAGCCUUCCUACUUAUCCCUGACAGCCCUGAUGCAGCUCAACAGCACCAAUGGCUCUUGGGUACAGGACUUAAAAACCAAAUAUUUAUUCCACUCCUCUCAUUAUUUAGAAAGGGGGACAUUGGGGUAAGGGACAAAGCUGUUAGGAGGGCCAGGUGCAGUGGCCCAUACCUGUAAUCCCAACACUUUGGGAGGCUGAGGUGAGAGGAUCACUUGAGCCCAGGAGUUCUAGAUCAGCCUGGGCAACAUAGAAGACCCUGUCUCUAUAAAAAUUUUUUUUAAAUUUAAAAAAUUUGAAAGAUGUUAGGUGAUAUGGUUUGUGUCCCCACCCAAAUCUCAUCUUGAAUAGUAGCUCCCAUAAUUCCCACAUGUGUGGGAGGGACCAGGUAGGAGGUAAUUGAAUCGUGGGGACAGUUUGCCCCAUACUGUUCUUGUGAUAGUGACUAAGUCUCACAAGUUCUGAUGAUUUUUAUAGGGAGUUUCCCCUUUUGCUUGGCUCUCAUUUCUUCCUUGCUUGCUGCCAUGUAAGACAUACCUUUUCUCCUUCUGUGAUGAUUGUGAGGCCUCCCCACCCAUGUGGAACUGUGAGUCCAUUAAACCUCUUUUUCUUUAUAAAUUACCCAGUCUCGGGUAUGUCUUUAUCAGCAGCGUGAAAACAGACUAAUACAUUAGGAGAUUGAGAUUGCAAGUUCUAAGCGAGGAUUGUAUAGAUAUAGAUGUACCAUCAUUCUUCAAUAAUUGGGGAAGUGAGAAUCUCAAAUAUAAAAGAGGUCCAUCAAUAACAUCCAUCUCUUCUUUCCAUUAAAAUAAGAAAUAUAAAAGUAGAAAUAAUGCUUGGUAAAUGUGACACAUCUCCAGUAGGCUCAUAUACUAACUUAAAUCUUGUGCUGUUCCAUUGCCCUCUGCUGGAUGUUCUUAGUAUCUGUGGCCUCAAAACUAGAAGUUCUAGUAGUGGUAGUAGUCACAGCAAUAGUGAUUAUUAUCAUUAUUGUCAUUUUAGCAGCAGCCAUGUUGAGGUCAAGCACUGUGCCACAUGCUUUACAUCCAAAUCCUCCUAACAACUCUAUGGCUAGAUAAUGCUCUCUCAUUUUGUAGAUGUGGAACCUGGGGGUUCAGAGGUAAAUAAACAAACCAAGGUUACACAACUAAAAGUAAGAGACCCGGGAAUUAAAUAUUGGUUCUAAAGCCUAGGCCUUAAUUACUUGCUGUUCAUUAAACUUUCAAUCUGUCAGCUGUGUUGGUGAUAAAACUGGAAUGAUAUUACUAGUUGGGAUCUUUUGAUUCACUGAUUAUUAACAAUGGAAUCACAACGAUCUUUAUUCUAAAAAGCCAAAAAUUAUUAUCUUCCUAAAAUUACCAAAAAGGAAAAGCUUACUCCUCAACAGAGCAGGAGAGCAUGUUUUCAGAGUUUCUCAAAGUGUGAUUCAGGAAACUCCUGCAUUGGAAUCACAUGAGGUGCUACUUCAGGGCAGAAAAUCCUAUGCACCAGGAUGUAUUUUGGAGGUAGAGAGGACAGAGCUUGUUCCUGAGAGCUGGGAUAUGUGUUAGUGGAGUGAGUGUAGAGAGAAAGAGGAACAAAAGAUGGCUCCUAAAAUUUUUGGCUCAGGACAAAUUUUGAGGAGAGUAGUGGCAUUAACUGAGAUGAGAAAGAUUAUUAGAGGAGCAAGGGUUUUAAUUGUUAGUUCAGUUGUGGCAGUUACUUUUUUGGCAGCAGAUAUAAAACCAGGAGUUUGGGUUUAGAUAUUAUAUUUAUGUUGCCAUAUAGGUAACCAAAUAAAAAUGGUAGAGCUAACUACAAAUAACUUUUAAAAAUUCAGAUCUAUAUUUAAGAUCUAUUCAUGUUGUUUCACGUGUAUCUCUUUCUAAUUGCUGCAUAAUCCUUUGUAAGUCUAUCAGUAGUAAGAGACCAGAUUACUUCCAACUCCCGCCACCACAACCAACACAGCAGUGAGCAUCCUCCUAUACAAUCCUUUAAGGUCCUCUGCAUGUAUUCUUUUGUGGUAUAAACUCAGGAGUGAGGUAUACUCAAUUGGAUUCGAUACUGCCAGGUUACUCCCUAAAAUGGCUGUGCUGGUCUAUACCCUAUCAGCAGUGCACAAGAGUUCCUCUACCUUCACAUUUCUUUGAAUGCUAAUAACUAUCCAGCCUAAUUUUUCACUAGAUAAAGAGGCAUCUUAUUGUUUUAAUACAUAUCUCUCUGAUAAGUUUGAGUAUCUUUACACACUCGUUGGACUUUUGGGUUUCUGUAAAUUGCCUAUUAAUAUUUCAUUGUUUUUCUUUCUUUGCCAUGUGAUAACUACAUAUUUAUGGGAUAUAUAGUAGUAUUUCAAUAUAUGUAUACAAUGUGUAAUGAUCAAGUCAGGGUAAUUAAGCAUAUUCAUUAUCUCAAACAUUUAUGAUGUGAACAUUCAAAAUAAAAAUCCUCUCUUCUAGCUUUUUAAAAAAUACACAAUAUUUCCCUUACAGUGCUACAGAACACUAGAACUUAUUCCUCCUCUUUAGCUAUAAUUUCGUAUCUGUUAACGAACUUCUCCGUAUCCUCUCCUCCCCACUACUCUUCCUUCCCCACUACUCUUCCUUCCCCACUACCCUUCCCAGACUCUAAAAACCACAAUUAUACUCUCUAUGAGCUCUUUUUUGUUUUUUUGGCUCCUACAUAUGAGUGAGAACAUGUGGUGUUUAUCCUUCUGAGCCAUCUUAUUUCAGUUAACAUGCCCUCCAGGUUCAUCCAUGUUGCCACAAAUUAGAAGAUUUCAUUCUUUUUUAUGGCCAAGUAGAAUUCCAUUUUGUGUAUAUACACCACCUUAUCCAUUCAUCUUUUGAUGGACAUUUCAUAUCUUGACUAUUUUUAACAGUGCUACAAUAAACAUGAAGGUGCAGGAAUCUCUCUGAUACAUAGAUUUUCUUUCCUCCGGAUAAAUACCCAGUAGUGAGAUUGCUGGACUUUCUUAGCACUCAUGUUAAAAAUCAUUUGAACAUAUAGGUGAGAAGUUAUUCCUGGGCUCAAAAACAAACAAACAACAACAGACAACAGAUAAGGAUACAGCAUGGGCCGGGCACGGUUGCUCACGCCUGUAAUCCCAGCACUUUGUGAGGCUGAGGUGCGUGGAUCACCUGAGGUCAAGGGUUCAAGACCAGCCUGACCGACAGGGAGAAACCCCCGUCUCUACUAAAAAUACAACAUUAACUGGGCGUGCUAGCGCAUGCCUGUAAUCCCAGCUACUCAGGAGGUGGAGGCAGGAGAAUCGCUUGAACCCAGGACGCAGAGGUUGCAGUGAGCCAAGAUCGCACCAUUACACUCCAGCCUGGGCAACAAGAGUGAAACUCUGUCUCAAAAAAACAAAAACAAAAAACCAGCAUGAUUUCAGGAGCAGAAAGAGAAUAACUUAAAAACCAGCAUAAUGAGAAAGUUAGGAAGCUUCUUACCAAAGCAUCUGGAAGUAUGCAAGAAAUUCUUGUGAACUAAAAUUUUCGUGCUGUACUAGCAAACACUACAACUCACUUAUUCCAUCUUUCUGUAUUUUGGGACCCAAUUAUCCACUUCUCUUCAUUCCCUAUCCCACCCCUUUUCUUCCUAGCGUCUGCUAACCACCUUUAUACUCUCCACCUUCCUGAGAUUCCUUUUGUGUGUAUGUGUGUGAUGGAGUCUCUUUCUGUUGCCCAGGUUGGAGUAUACAGGCACAAUCCGGGCUCACUGCAACCUCUGCCUCCAGAGUUCAAGGGAUUCUUGGGCCUCAGCCUCCCGAGUAGCUGAGACUACAGGCACGCGUCACCACGCAUGGCUAAUUUUUUGUGUUUUUAGUAGAGACGGGGUUUCACCAUGUUGGUCAGGCUGGUCUCGAACUCCUGGCCUCAAGUGAUCCGUGCAACUCGGCCUCCCAAAGUGCUGGGAUUACAGGCCUGAGCCACCACACCUGGCCAAGAUUUUCUUUUUUGUUCCUACAUGUAAGUGAGGACAUGUAAUAUUUGUCAUUCUGUUCCUGGCUUAUUUCACUUAAUAUACAGACCUGAAAUCUCAUCCAUUUUUUCUGCAGUGGAGAGGAUUUUAGUCCUUUUUAGGCUGAAUAAUACUUCAUUGUAUGUGUAUACCAGUUUAAUUGACACAAAUUUCUAAAAAGCAAAUAUUUUUAAAAUGUCUCAGAAUGUGAAACUUUAGGGAUACUGUGCCCAUUUUAUUCUUUUCUAUUUCCCAUUUUAUGGAUAUGCAAGUGUAUAAUAAAACAGCAAUCAAUGGGUGUAUAAAUCUAUAACUUCAACAAAUGUAAAAUGAAAAUGCUAAGUGGUGGCUGGGCGCUGUUGCUCACACCUGUAAUCCCAGCACUUUGGGAGGCCGAAGCGGGCGGAUCACCUGAGGUCGGGAGUUCAAGACCAGUCUGACCAACAUGGAGAAACAGUCUGUACUAAAAAAAAAAAAAAAAAAAAAAAACAAAGUAGCUGGGUGUGAUAGUGCAUGCCUGUAAUCCCAGCUACUUGAAAGGCUAAGAGAGGAGAAUCGCUUGAAUACGGGAGGCAGAGGUUGCAGUAAGCCGAUAUCAUGCCAUUGCACUCCAGCCUGGGCAACAACAGUGAAACUCUGUCUCAAAAAAAAAAAAAAAGAAAAAAGAAAAAAGAAAAAAAGAAAAUGCCAAAUGGUAAGAAAAAACAGCAUAAUAAAAAUUUGUAUGGUGUUGAAGAACAAUGCAUUUGAAGAUAAUAUUUGAAGAAAUCAUAUUACAAUUAACUUCUGUUCUUACUCAUUGGUUUGAUGCCUCUAAAAACUUCAUCACUGGAACCACCUCUGGUGCUUUAAAAAAAAAAAAAAAAAAAAAAAAAAAAAUCCGCAUACCCACACAGGUGCAAGUAAAUCAGAAUCUCAGGUCAUGAGACCCAGGCCUCAUCAUUUGUAAGUGCCCCGGGUGAUUUGAUUCAAAGCCAAGAUUGAGGACCCGUGACAUGGAUCUCUACACAUAAUCUGCCUAAAUAGAUUCUCUACAAGCAGUUUAUAAAGAAGUUCCACAUGAACUCUGGAAGAGGAUAUGAAUUUGAUGUACAGUAUGUGCUCACUUAACAUCUUUGAAAGUCUCUUGGAAACUUCACCUUUAAGCAAAAUUAUGGAUAGUGAAACCACUUAUUCCUCAUCAACAUUACAACUAAACAACUUUGAACAAAACAAUGGUGUUGGAGGACCGGCUGUACAUUGUUUCUAUAAAGUCAAUUUUCAGGGAAUUCCAAAAUGAAGUGAGGACUUCCUGUAUAUAAAAAGAUGGUUGUGAUUCCACAUGGAUGACAGGGUUAUUGCUCAGAAACUAAAGGAGGCCGCCCAGGUAUAGAGGAUUCAGUCAUGAGGUUUAUGCUACACAAAAGAUCCCAGAAUACUCACCCAUUCCAGUCAAAGACAUAAUGAAAAAAGCAAUAUUCACAUAGG
Molecule: long non-coding RNA, 11006 nt
Filed under: Homo sapiens (human)
Lineage: Eukaryota; Metazoa; Chordata; Mammalia; Primates; Hominidae
Description: HSALNT0058756
Source: RNAcentral